Molecule: ribosomal RNA, 440 nt
Filed under: uncultured bacterium
Lineage: Bacteria
Description: partial 16S ribosomal RNA
Rfam family: Bacterial small subunit ribosomal RNA
Source: RNAcentral
CCUACGGGUGGCAGCAGUGGGGAAUAUUGCACAAUGGGGGAAACCCUGAUGCAGCGACGCCGCGUGAGUGAAGAAGUAAUUCGUUAUGUAAAGCUCUAUCAGCAGGGAAGAAAAUGACGGUACCUGAGUCAGAAGCCCCGGCUAACUACGGGCCAGCAGCCGCGGGAAUACGUAGGGGGCAAGCGUUAUCCGGAUUUACUGGGGGUAAAGGGAGCGUAGACGGCAGUGCAAGUCUGGAGGGAAAGGCGGGGGCUCAACCCCCGGACUGCUCUGGAAACUGGACGGCUGGAGUGCAGGAGAGGUAAGUGGAAUGCCUGGUGUAGCGGUGAAAUGCGUAGAUAUUAGGAAGAACACCGGUGGCGAAGGCAGCUUACUGGACUGUAACUGACGUUGAGGCUCGAAAGCGUGGGGAGCGAACAGGAUUAGAUACCCGAGUAGUC